Molecule: ribosomal RNA, 253 nt
Filed under: uncultured bacterium
Lineage: Bacteria
Description: partial 16S ribosomal RNA
Rfam family: Bacterial small subunit ribosomal RNA
Source: RNAcentral
UACGUAGGGGGCUAGCGUUGUCCGGAAUUACUGGGCGUAAAGCGCGUGUAGGCGGUCCGGUAAGUCCGCUGUGAAAGUCGGGGGCUCAACCCUCGGAUGCCGGUGGAUACUGUCGGGCUUGAGUACGGAAGAGGCGAGUGGAAUUCCUGGUGUAGCGGUGAAAUGCGCAGAUAUCAGGAGGAACACCAAUUGCGAAGGCAGCUCGCUGGGACGUUACUGACGCUGAGACGCGAAAGCGUGGGGAGCAAACAGG